UAGAUACCCCAGUAUACUUAUUCUUAAAUUUAAAAGCUAGAUUAUUAGUAGAUAUAUUCUUGAAAUUCAAAGAAUUUGGCGGUAUCUUAAUCUUAUUAGAGGAAUCUGUUCUAUAAACGAUAAACCACGAAGAAUCUUAUUUACCUUAAGUAGUUUGUAUACCGUCAUUAUUAGAUAAUUUUGGGAAAAUUAAUUAUUGUAAUUAAAGCUGAAAGUUUUAAGUAUAUUAGAUCAAGGUGCAGCUUAUAGGUAAGAAAAGAAUGGAUUACAAUAAAUUAAUUUAAACGGAGGUUACUCUUUAAUGGGUUACUGAAGGCGGAUUUAAUUGUAUAUUUAAAUUUAAUAUGAUAAAUAGAAAUUGGCUCUAAGAUAUGUA
Molecule: ribosomal RNA, 376 nt
Filed under: Paguristes sericeus
Lineage: Eukaryota; Metazoa; Arthropoda; Malacostraca; Decapoda; Diogenidae
Description: partial small subunit ribosomal RNA
Source: RNAcentral